Long non-coding RNA from Dipodomys ordii (Ord's kangaroo rat), 926 nucleotides. RefSeq lists it as uncharacterized. The record is from RefSeq and is a predicted model, not a curated record. Lineage: Eukaryota; Metazoa; Chordata; Mammalia; Rodentia; Heteromyidae. The transcript has 3 exons.
AGCAAACUGCCAUCCCACACAAGAUGGCGGCAUGCAAAGAGGAGAGAGGGAAGAAGAAGGGAAGAAGAGAGGAAACGUGGCAGCUGCGGCCACACUUCUGACCGGUGCUCUCAGAGUAAUACUUCAAGAACUGGGCUCCCAGCUUCUGAGACUCUUCCAGGUCGACGAGGAGCCCCGGGAAUCGGCGGAUCCAGCAGUCUCUGAAGAAGAUGGUGGGCGAGCAGAGGGUGUGUGCGGCGGGGCCCCUGCUGAGGAGCAGCAGCGCAGCCAGCGUCAGCGCCUUGGCCGCCCGCCCGCAUGGCCCGCACAGAGACAGCACGACCUCCAGAGGGGUGCAGGAGCCCACCAUUGGGGUGCAGGAUUUAGGAAUCUGCAGAUCUUCAGGCUGUUGCUAGGGUGAGGCUCUUUGGGACGUUUCCAGAGUCACCUAUGUUGAUUUUUCUUUCCUCACAGUGGCACCCAAGGACACAUCUUUCAUUGAACGGGAUUUUGUUUUUGGUCUAUUUCAAAAGGCCAGAAAAUACCAGUCUGAAGCAUACCUGUGGCUGAUGGGAAACAAAAGCAUCCAUUGGUGUAGGAUUCUAAAGAGGCUGAGGAGAGACUGAGAGCCUGUUCAUCCUGACUGACCCGCUGAGUCCUGCACUGUAGCACAUCAACUGCACAGCCAACUGCUCUGACACUGGGUCUUCCAGCAGGUCCUCUAGCUGACUGCCUAAUCCUUGAUCCAAGUGGUAUUUCUGCAGAGAAGGCUACAUCCUUGACCUCUCACCUGUCCUCAUGGGUCCACACCUGCUCUUGCUCCCCCACCAAAAACAACACUGUCCCACCACUCUGUCGGGGGAUGGAGGGUGAGAGGCCCUUGUGGGAACAGAUGAAGUCUUACUAGUAAUGACAUAAACAAUUAAUUCAUUGAUUUUUAAAAAUUA